AUUGAACGCUGGCGGCAGGCCUAACACAUGCAAGUCGAGCGGAUGAAGGGAGCUUGCUCCUGGAUUCAGCGGCGGACGGGUGGGUAAUGCCCAGGAAUCUGCCUUGUCGUGGGGGAUAACGUCCGGAAACGGGCGCUAAUCUCGCAUACGACCAGAUGUAGAAAGUGGGGGAUCUUCGGACCUCACGCUAUCAGAUGAGCCUAGGUCGGAUUAGCUAGUUGGUGGGGUAAAGGCCUACCAAGGCGGCGAUCCGUAACUGGUCUGAGAGGAUGAUCAGUCACACUGGAACUGAGACACGGUCCAGACUCCUACGGGAGGCAGCAGUGGGGAAUAUUGGGCAAUGGGCGAAAGCCUGAUCCAGCCAUGCCGCGUGUGUGAUGAAGGUCUUCGGAUUGUAAAGCGCUGUAAGUUGGGAGGAAGGACAGUAAGUUAAUACCUGGCUGUUUUGACGUUACCAACAGAAUAAGCACCGGCUAACUUCGUG
This 484-nucleotide ribosomal RNA is filed under the name uncultured bacterium. RNAcentral describes it as "partial 16S ribosomal RNA". It matches the Rfam family "Bacterial small subunit ribosomal RNA", at positions 30 to 507 of the family's 1533-position model. The record is from RNAcentral.